This 982-nucleotide long non-coding RNA is filed under the name Polistes fuscatus (common paper wasp). RNAcentral describes it as "uncharacterized LOC122526487". Lineage: Eukaryota; Metazoa; Arthropoda; Insecta; Hymenoptera; Vespidae. The record is from RNAcentral.
UUCGUCUUCGUCACCGUCGUCGUCACCGUCUUCGUCUUCGUCUUCGUCUUCGUCGUCGGUGUCGUCGUCAAUCUCGUGUUCGGCUUUCCACCUCCUCCUGCAAAGAUUUUCUCCCACACUUGAAAAGUGAUUAAGAACCGCGCGUAACCACCCUUUCGCACGUUCCCUUGGCCUUCUUUUCUUUUAAACGUCACAUAUUAAUGCACCGAUAUAACAUUUGAAGAUUUUCUCGUAGCGGUUAAGACUUAUGGGAAAUGGGGAAAUAAAGAAGGAAAGAGAGAGCAGCGCCCGUCCUUUCGUCUUGACAAACUACACAACUACACUUUCGAACUGCCACCUAGUAGGUGGGGAUUGCGGGAGAGCCGUCGGCCAAUCACAAGUAUUAAGUAAGCGAACUGAUAGCCUGGCGACCUUACCGUUCUCACGCGGUCUUGAAUAAUGUUCGACUAAGAGCAUUAAGUCGAUUUCCUUCUCGAUCCACAUGCACACCUAGCGCCAUCUCGUAGCUCCUUUCGAUUCGACCAAUCAGCGAAUCGCUAGUAACCUCUUAGGGAAUUUAUUUAGGAAUUAUAGUAUCUUUAAAUUUCCAGUCUAUCUAAAGUUAACCUUUAAUCGAUGUAUAUUCGUUUAACUUGUGUAUCUCUUUCCUCGGAUAAAAUUUCUCAUUUGUUUUAUCGAGUAUUUUGUUAAACCGACAAUGACUUUUUUGGCCAGAGUGGCAGGACUAACUUGGAUAAUUUAUAUGGCACACAUUGUGUCGAAAGGUUAUCAGAGUAAUUAUGUACCUUCUGAUCAAUCAAGAUGGCCAACAGAUGAAAGGGCAAGAAGAACUGAUUCCCUAUAGUAAGCUAAAAGAAUGAGUAAAAGAGAUGUCAUUUAUGAUCAAUAUUUGAUCGUACAAUUCGUAUACUUACCUCUCUAGAACAGUUAUACGGAUUAUAUAGAAGUGUAAUGAUUUAAUAAAGAAGAUUCAAGUAGUUUA